CGGUAAGAGCAGCUGGCACUCUUAACCCCUGAGCCAUCUUUCCAGCCCCUGAAAGAGACUUCUGAAUGUCAUUCGACUUGACACUGGAGAUUUUUCAUAAGCAAAUAUCAAGACAGCUUGGGGACAGCCUUAUAAUCAAAAUGAGGCCUGAUUGUCCCACUCUUCUUAGAGGACAGCUUUCUCCCUACUGGCACUACGUUCUCCCAAUCACCCUCUGAAAGCAAGCAAGGUCCUGGAAGCUUUUCUGAAGGGCCCUAAGAGGUCCCUGGGAAAUCUAUUAUGGGAUGGCCUGGAAAUGUCACUUUUGAAAUCCUGCUUUUAAUGAACAGACAAGAAAAGGAUGCUGCCUCGCCCUCAUGGAUAAUGGCCAUCACCUGGGGAGCACUUUGUCCUGCCUUGGCCUCCUGUUCUGGGAAUCCAAGAUGAGUGAAGCCCAAGGACAAGAAUAUUUUGAAGAUGUGGGUGUCAGGCUUUCAUCAUGCUUCUAGUUGCCUUGUGGUUCAUAUGAGGAGUCAGUGGUUUUUAAGCAAAUGAAGCUUCUAAGUGCUUAUUUAAAAGAAUCCCACAGCUUGGUGAGAACUAGUCUGCCUAUAAACAUCUGGCAACAUUAUAACCUAUAUUAAAAUUUCAAGUACUGUAAAGUUUUCA
Molecule: long non-coding RNA, 648 nt
Organism: Nannospalax galili (Upper Galilee mountains blind mole rat)
Lineage: Eukaryota; Metazoa; Chordata; Mammalia; Rodentia; Spalacidae
Exons: 3
Source: RefSeq, a predicted model, not a curated record